AGCAGGCCAAUUCACAGAUUCACCCUUGGGAGAGACAUUUUAUGAGAAAAGAGAAGGACUAGAAUAAUUUUUGCUAGAUUAGCAAGAAAAAUAGAACGUUGCCUGAUUCUCAGAGUGGAGCCCUCCUCAUCCUUCAACCCUAGCUCGGGACUCGGGACCUUCCUCUCCGUGCUGGGCUGGCUAUGAAACCCUUUGAAGAGAAUGGAAGUUUUGGGUAUACACCCAAGACACAUGAAAUCAUCAGCCUGCAGUUUGCUUCAGAUGAUGAAAUCCUGUCUCAGAAAAUUCAAGUAACACAACGUUCUGUGUGAACGUUGAUGGAGCUGAUUCCAGCCCAGGCAGCCUGAUAUCAACGCCCCUAUGACAAACACACAUGAGUGCUCACCAAACCCUGGC
This is a long non-coding RNA of Lutra lutra (Eurasian river otter), 396 nucleotides long. RefSeq lists it as uncharacterized. Lineage: Eukaryota; Metazoa; Chordata; Mammalia; Carnivora; Mustelidae. The transcript has 3 exons. The record is from RefSeq and is a predicted model, not a curated record.